GAAAGUGAUUUGCUAGCUUGGGUAUCAAGGCUGGAUUUGGGGCAAAAUAUGUCUAAACCCUGCCACUAAAGACAAGCUUCUGUAGCAACUCCUAGACUUAAAGGACCACAAUAACCAAAUAGUCCUUAAGGACUCUGUUUCACGUAUCUCUUGAGCACUAGUUAUCUCUGCAGCUAUAGAAGGCUACUUCUUUUCUGUGGGAGAAUAUAAUACAGAGUGCAAGGUUUGUGUUAGCCAUCAGAACUAAAGUGCAGACAGUACAGGUACUUUGGUCGAAUGUCUGGGUCCUGAGCACCAGGUGCUGUAGGAAAUGAUUUCCUUUGUAAAGCACAUUAAAAAUAACAAUAAUAAUAAUAUGUUCCUGAGUUGAUUACUUCUGUGUAUUUGAAAGUGAAACAAGCAGAAAGAGAUUUCUAGCUGAAGCCAGUAUCUUACAGGCACAAUUUGUAACUUGAUAAGGCACCCAGGAAAAUGACAAAGGGCAUGAAAAGCUACUGGCUAUGUUUUUUGUGAUACUUUUAAGCAGGCAGAUGCAAAGCAGCACCAAUUCUCACCCACCCACAUCUCAUCUCUCUCUCUCCCUCCCCACAGCUUAUUUUUAAAGCUUCAGAAGUUAUUAGUGGGUUAUCUCAGCUUUCUCUUUCCACCUGCACUCCUCUAUACCAUGAUGAAAAGAUUUGGCAAGUGAGACAUGGCAAGGACUGGGACAAUAUGCUGAGGUCUGUUUGGAGCUUGUGCAUUGGUAGAAGCAGGGCACUAUGAAGAUUGAGACAGUUCCUCCUGAAGAAACAGUCCGAAGAAAGCUUGCCAGAUGACCAUGAAUACCAACAGCUCUGUGGUGACUGAUUUAUUUUGCUCUCAGAAUAAUCCUUAUCAUCUAUGUGUUAGCUAAGGGGAAUGAGAGGUGAUCAGAAGGAAGAGUAUUUUUGUACGGUUGGUUUGUUGUUUUAUGUUUGCUUGCUUUCCUCAGCAAAUAGCAAAUUCACUGAUCAGAUUUACAUUGAAUAAAAAAGUGCAUAUUUGAGUCCA
This 1029-nucleotide long non-coding RNA is filed under the name Anser cygnoides (Swan goose). RNAcentral describes it as "lncRNA (ENSACDG00005015364.1)". The record is from RNAcentral. Lineage: Eukaryota; Metazoa; Chordata; Aves; Anseriformes; Anatidae.